CUUCCCUAUUGUUUAUUCAUUUCCAAAUAUGAACAAAAUUAAUUAAAUUUCCUCAAUUCUUGUCUGAUUCAAUUGUCUGCAGGUCAGCAACUUAGAUGUGUGCUGGUUUUCAGUCACCAGAAUGAGGUUGCACAAAUCUACUGGCCUUUGUGUGUGUGAUAUGGAGUUGCAGUGAGAAAGUCCACAGUGUGGCAACUUAUGGUAAUGUCCUUGUAUAUUUGAUGGCCAAACAACAUCUUUCUUUAUUAAAGUUAUGUGUUUUUUACUAAGGCAUUUUUUCUUUGAUGGCAGAUAACAAUACUUCAAUUGGUUGUCUUAUAAGGAUAAGGAUACUCGUAAAAAUAGCUGCACUGUAUAAAUUCAUUUUAUUAAAUUAUUCUUGCAUGUAGAUUAUGCAAUCUUAUUUUUACUUUCAAUGACCUGUGUAGUUAUUUCCCAUUUUAUGAAAAUAUAGGUUAACUACCUCAGAGAACCUUGUUGUCUCAAUUCAAUAGAGUAUCGAAUGGGCGGAUGCACAAGGGAAUUGGAACUGACGGAAUGUAGCACAAAAAAGUGAAAGAAAGAGUUGAGGAAGUGAAGAAAUCUGUUGUUGCAGAAUUUGUUAUAGUUUGCUCAAAUCCAUCCGAAUAGUUUGAUUUAAUAUUAUUUAAUUGUAAUGAUGUACAGCUAUUCAUAAAUACAUUCUUGUAAUUAAUUAUAGACAACUUCUAUUUACUACAGUUCAAA
This is a non-coding RNA of Nicotiana tabacum (common tobacco), 726 nucleotides long. The record is from RefSeq and is a predicted model, not a curated record. Lineage: Eukaryota; Viridiplantae; Streptophyta; Magnoliopsida; Solanales; Solanaceae.